AAUAUUGGACAAUGGGCGAAAGCCUGAUCCAGCCAUGCCGCGUGUGUUAAGAAGGUAUUCGGAUUGUAAAGCACUUUAAGUUGGGAGAAAGGGCAGUAAGUUAAUACCUUGCUGUAUUGACGUUACCGUCAGAAUUAGCACCGGCUAACUUCGUGACAGCAGCCGCGGUAAUACGAAGUGUGCAAUCGUUAAGCGGAAUUACUGGGCGUAAAGCGCGCGUAGGUGGUUCGUUAAGUUUGAAGUGAAAGCCCCGGGCUUAACCUGGGAAUUGCUUUCAGAAAUGGCGAGCUAGAGUACGGUAGAGGGUAGUGGAAUUUCCUGUGUAGCGGUGAAAUGCGUAGAUAUAGGAAGGAACAUCAGUGGCGAAGGCGACUACCUGGACUGAUACUGACACUGAGGUGCGAAAGCGUGGGGAGCAAACAGG
Molecule: ribosomal RNA, 424 nt
Filed under: uncultured bacterium
Lineage: Bacteria
Description: partial 16S ribosomal RNA
Rfam family: Bacterial small subunit ribosomal RNA
Source: RNAcentral